CCUCCUUGGAAUAUAGAUCUCCUCCAGCUGGACGUCGUUGUGGCCCCCUCUCCGCAUGCUGUUUUCUGGGCACUGAGAAGGAUUUUGUCAUCGUCUUCAGGGUCAUGUUGAAGAAGCACAACAUGUGACAGUAAAAUUUGCAUGAGCUUGGGACAGCUGUGUCCAGAGAAGGUUGUCUGGGUAUAUAUGUAGUAGAAACCAUCACUGGGUAUGUAGACUUUGUUGUCUAUUAGUGACAGUUGUCCCUGGUUGAUUCCGUUGUCAGUGUUAUUUGUCCAGAGGAGAUUAUUCCUG
Pelobates cultripes (western spadefoot toad) is the source of this 294-nucleotide non-coding RNA. The record is from the annotation of a GenBank genome assembly. Lineage: Eukaryota; Metazoa; Chordata; Amphibia; Anura; Pelobatidae.